RNAcentral lists this ribosomal RNA (495 nucleotides) under uncultured bacterium. RNAcentral describes it as "partial 16S ribosomal RNA". It matches the Rfam family "Bacterial small subunit ribosomal RNA", at positions 28 to 507 of the family's 1533-position model. The record is from RNAcentral.
GACGAACGCUGGCGGCGUGCCUAAUACAUGCAAGUAGAACGCUGAAGGAGGAGCUUGCUUCUCGGGAUGAGUUGCGAACGGGUGAGUAACGCGUAGGUAACCUGCCUGGUAGCGGGGGAUAACUAUUGGAAACGAUAGCUAAUACCGCAUAAUAGUAGAUGUUGCAUUACAUUUGCUUAGAAGGUGCAAUUGCAUCACUACCAGAUGGACCUGCGUUGUAUUAGCUAGUUGGUGAGGUAACGGCUCACCAAGGCAACGAUACAUAGCCGACCUGAGAGGGGGAUCGGCCACACUGGGAGUGAGACACGGCCCAGACUGCUACGGGAGGCAGCAGUAGGGAAUCUUCGGCAAUGGACGGAAGUCUGACCGAGCAACGCCGCGUGAGUGAAGAAGGUUUUCGGAUCGUAAAGCUCUGUUGUAAGAGAAGAACGAGUGUGAGAGUGGAAAGUUCACACUGUGACGGUAUCUUACCAGAAAGGGACGGCUAACUACGUG